Molecule: ribosomal RNA, 1343 nt
Filed under: uncultured bacterium
Lineage: Bacteria
Description: 16S ribosomal RNA
Rfam family: Bacterial small subunit ribosomal RNA
Source: RNAcentral
GACGAACGCUGGCGGCGUGCUUAACACAUGCAAGUCGAACGGAAAGGCCCUGCUUUUGUGGGGUGCUCGAGUGGCGAACGGGUGAGUAACACGUGAGUAACCUGCCCUUGACUUUGGGAUAACUUCAGGAAACUGGGGCUAAUACCGGAUAGGAGCUCCUGCUGCAUGGUGGGGGUUGGAAAGUUUCGGCGGUUGGGGAUGGACUCGCGGCUUAUCAGCUUGUUGGUGGGGUAGUGGCUUACCAAGGCUUUGACGGGUAGCCGGCCUGAGAGGGUGACCGGCCACAUUGGGACUGAGAUACGGCCCAGACUCCUACGGGAGGCAGCAGUGGGGAAUAUUGCACAAUGGGCGGAAGCCUGAUGCAGCAACGCCGCGUGCGGGAUGACGGCCUUCGGGUUGUAAACCGCUUUCGCCUGUGACGAAGCGUGAGUGACGGUAAUGGGUAAAGAAGCACCGGCUAACUACGUGCCAGCAGCCGCGGUGAUACGUAGGGUGCGAGCGUUGUCCGGAUUUAUUGGGCGUAAAGGGCUCGUAGGUGGUUGAUCGCGUCGGAAGUGUAAUCUUGGGGCUUAACCCUGAGCGUGCUUUCGAUACGGGUUGACUUGAGGAAGGUAGGGGAGAAUGGAAUUCCUGGUGGAGCGGUGGAAUGCGCAGAUAUCAGGAGGAACACCAGUGGCGAAGGCGGUUCUCUGGGCCUUUCCUGACGCUGAGGAACGAAAGCGUGGGGAGCGAACAGGCUUAGAUACCCUGGUAGUCCACGCUGUAAACGGUGGGUACUAGGUGUGGGGUCCAUUCCACGGGUUCCGUGCCGUAGCUAACGCUUUAAGUACCCCGCCUGGGGAGUACGGCCGCAAGGCUAAAACUCAAAGGAAUUGACGGGGCCCCGCACAAGCGGCGGAGCAUGCGGAUUAAUUCGAUGCAACGCGUAGAACCUUACCUGGGUUUGACAUGGAUCGGGAGCGCUCAGAGAUGGGUGUGCCUCUUUUGGGGUCGGUUCACAGGUGGUGCAUGGCUGUCGUCAGCUCGUGUCGUGAGAUGUUGGGUUAAGUCCCGCAACGAGCGCAACCCUUGUUCACUGUUGCCAGCACGUUAUGGUGGGGACUCAGUGGAGACCGCCGGGGUCAACUCGGAGGAAGGUGGGGAUGACGUCAAGUCAUCAUGCCCCUUAUGUCCAGGGCUUCACGCAUGCUACAAUGGCUGGUACAGAGAGUGGCGAGCCUGUGAGGGUGAGCGAAUCUCGGAAAGCCGGUCUCAGUUCGGAUUGGGGUCUGCAACUCGACCUCAUGAAGUCGGGGUCGCUAGUAAUCGCAGAUCAGCAACGCUGCGGUGAAUACGUUCCCGGG